GCCGACUUAGCUCAGUAGGUAGAGCAACUGACUUGUAAUCAGUAGGUCAUAGUCGGCACCA
This 61-nucleotide transfer RNA is filed under the name Vibrio sp. AIC-3. RNAcentral describes it as "tRNA-Thr". It matches the Rfam family "tRNA". Rfam says of the family: Transfer RNA (tRNA) molecules are approximately 80 nucleotides in length. Their secondary structure includes four short double-helical elements and three loops (D, anti-codon, and T loops). Further hydrogen bonds mediate the characteristic L-shaped molecular structure. tRNAs have two regions of fundamental functional importance: the anti-codon, which is responsible for specific mRNA codon recognition, and the 3' end, to which the tRNAs corresponding amino acid is attached (by aminoacyl-tRNA synthetases). tRNAs cope with the degeneracy of the genetic code in two manners: having more than one tRNA (with a specific anti-codon) for a particular amino acid; and 'wobble' base-pairing, i.e. permitting non-standard base-pairing at the 3rd anti-codon position. Lineage: Bacteria; Pseudomonadati; Pseudomonadota; Gammaproteobacteria; Vibrionales; Vibrionaceae. The record is from RNAcentral.